This is a small nuclear RNA of Ictalurus punctatus (channel catfish), 105 nucleotides long. Its record names the gene U2. It matches the Rfam family "U2 spliceosomal RNA". Rfam says of the family: U2 is a small nuclear RNA (snRNA) component of the spliceosome (involved in pre-mRNA splicing). Complementary binding between U2 snRNA (in an area lying towards the 5' end but 3' to hairpin I) and the branchpoint sequence (BPS) of the intron results the bulging out of an unpaired adenosine, on the BPS, which initiates a nucleophilic attack at the intronic 5' splice site, thus starting the first of two transesterification reactions that mediate splicing. The record is from Ensembl. Lineage: Eukaryota; Metazoa; Chordata; Actinopteri; Siluriformes; Ictaluridae.
AUCGCUUCUCGGCCUUUUGGCUAAGAUCAAGUGUAGUAUCUGUUCUUAUAAGAUGCGGAAGUCGACGCGAGUGGGCCGGUCCGAGUGGCGCGGCUGAGAAAUUCU